This 405-nucleotide ribosomal RNA is filed under the name uncultured Acetobacteraceae bacterium. RNAcentral's name for it is "bacterial SSU rRNA". It matches the Rfam family "Bacterial small subunit ribosomal RNA", at positions 355 to 774 of the family's 1533-position model. The record is from RNAcentral. Lineage: Bacteria; Pseudomonadati; Pseudomonadota; Alphaproteobacteria; Acetobacterales; Acetobacteraceae.
UGGGGAAUAUUGGACAAUGGGCGCAAGCCUGAUCCAGCAAUGCCGCGUGGAUGAAGAAGGUCUUCGGAUUGUAAAGUCCUUUCGGCGGGGACGAUGAUGACGGUACCCGCAGAAGAAGCCCGGCUAACAUUCGUGCCAGCAGCCGCGGUAAUACGAAGGGGGCGUAGCGUUGCUCGGAAUGACUGGGCGUAAAGGGCGCGUAGGCGGUCUGGUUCGUCAGGCGUGAAAUUCCUGGGCUUAACCUGGGACGUGCGCUUGAAACAUCUGGGCUUGAGUGUGGAAGAGGGUCGUGGAAUUCCCAGUGUAGAGGUGAAAUUCGUAGAUAUUGGGAAGAACACCGGUGGCGAAGGCGGCGACCUGGUCCAUUUACUUGACGCUGAGGCGCGAAAGCGUGGGGAGCAAACA